UUUGCUAUGGACUCUUUAUACAACAGCUUCCGUUUGGGAAAAGCGGCUCGGUCGUUUUCAGUCUGUUGAAAAUGUCAUUAGCCAAGGUAACAAUUAGUGAUGAACGUCGAUCCGAAGCUCUGACAAGUAAUCUGGAGAAAAGUUUUAAGAAGUUCGCCUCGUUAUACGUUCGCAGACACGAAGCAGGGAGGAGAGAAAAGCAUGAUGGGUAAAAACCACACAGGAUCGGUUCCUGUUAAACCACCAGAGGUCACCGUGGGGUCACCGUUAGCUCAGAGAAGGAAGUUGGAGGAAAGAAGAAAAGGUCCGAUGGGAGCAGAAGGAGCGUCUCACCGCCAGUGGCCAGUUGAUGCAGGGCAUCUUCACCUGCAGCCUGCACAGGUGCAUGAGGAAGAAGAUGAGGAAGGCCACCAGGAACCAGAGCACCACCACCUCGAA
This is a long non-coding RNA of Gambusia affinis (western mosquitofish), 438 nucleotides long. RefSeq lists it as uncharacterized. Lineage: Eukaryota; Metazoa; Chordata; Actinopteri; Cyprinodontiformes; Poeciliidae. The record is from RefSeq and is a predicted model, not a curated record. The transcript is spliced from 4 exons.